This 468-nucleotide ribosomal RNA is filed under the name uncultured bacterium. Its description in RNAcentral is "partial 16S ribosomal RNA". It matches the Rfam family "Bacterial small subunit ribosomal RNA", at positions 28 to 507 of the family's 1533-position model. The record is from RNAcentral.
GACGAACGCUGGCGGCGUGCUUAACACAUGCCAGUCGAACGGAAAGGCCCUGCUUUUGUGGGGUGCUCGAGUGGCGAACGGGUGAGUAACACGUGAGUAACCUGCCCUUGACUUUGUGAUAACUUCAGGAAACUGGGGCUAAUACCGGAUAGGAGCUCCUGCUGCAUGGUGGGGGUUGGAAAGUUUCGGCGGUUGGGGAUGGACUCGCGGCUUAUCAGCUUGUUGGUGGGGUAGUGGCUUACCAAGGCUUUGACGGGUAGCCGGCCUGAGAGGGUGACCGGCCACAUUGGGACUGAGAUACGGCCCAGACUCCUACGGGAGGCAGCAGUGGGGAAUAUUGCACAAUGGGCGGAAGCCUGAUGCAGCAACGCCGCGUGCGGGAUGACGGCCUUCGGGUUGUAAACCGCUUUCGCCUGUGACGAAGCGUGAGUGACGGUAAUGGGUAAAGAAGCACCGGCUAACUACGUG